AGGUUAAGCUGUGAUGCAGAUGGAUGUCGGCAGAGCGAAGCUUUGAUAUAUAAGUACUAAAUUAGGCUCAGGAUUUCAUGUCUUCAUACAUGUAAUCCACUUAAGUUACUCCGCUGCAACGCUUAGUGCGUUUUACUUUAUUGAUGUGUUGCAAAGAUUUCAAACUAAUAGCUUACAGAAUUAUGUCACUUGAUACUUAGACAACUUGUCGUUAUGUUAUUGUGAGUUGUCUGCUUUUGAGUUUAGAAAAGAUUGUUUAUGA
RNAcentral lists this long non-coding RNA (262 nucleotides) under Salvia miltiorrhiza (redroot sage). RNAcentral describes it as "long non-coding RNA (SMIL_LNC010806)". The record is from RNAcentral. Lineage: Eukaryota; Viridiplantae; Streptophyta; Magnoliopsida; Lamiales; Lamiaceae.